This 339-nucleotide ribosomal RNA is filed under the name uncultured Prevotella sp. RNAcentral's name for it is "bacterial SSU rRNA". It matches the Rfam family "Bacterial small subunit ribosomal RNA", at positions 355 to 691 of the family's 1533-position model. Lineage: Bacteria; Pseudomonadati; Bacteroidota; Bacteroidia; Bacteroidales; Prevotellaceae. The record is from RNAcentral.
GGAGGAAUAUUGGUCAAUGGGCGGAAGCCUGAACCAGCCAAGUAGCGUGCAGGACGACGGCCCUAUGGGUUGUAAACUGCUUUUAUGCGGGGAUAAAGUGGGCCACGUGUGGCCUUUUGCAGGUACCGCAUGAAUAAGGACCGGCUAAUUCCGUGCCAGCAGCCGCGGUAAUACGGAAGGUCCGGGCGUUAUCCGGAUUUAUUGGGUUUAAAGGGAGCGUAGGCCGGAAGAUAAGCGUGUUGUGAAAAGUCGGGGCUCAACCUCGGCCUUGCAGCGCGAACUGUUUUUCUUGAGUACGCAGUAGGUAGGCGGAAUUCGUUGUGUAGCGGUGAAAUGCUU